UGCCGUGAUGACAAUUAUUUGCUACUCUCGACUAGAUGGAUGACGAUAAUAACACCACCAUGUUAACAUUUCUGAGGCA
Molecule: small nucleolar RNA, 79 nt
Gene: SNORD24
Rfam family: Small nucleolar RNA SNORD24
About the family: U24 is a member of the C/D class of snoRNA which contain the C (UGAUGA) and D (CUGA) box motifs. C/D box snoRNAs have been shown to act as methylation guides for a number of RNA targets. U24 is encoded within an intron of the gene for ribosomal protein L7a in mammals, chicken and Fugu.
Source: Ensembl